This 492-nucleotide ribosomal RNA is filed under the name uncultured bacterium. RNAcentral describes it as "partial 16S ribosomal RNA". It matches the Rfam family "Bacterial small subunit ribosomal RNA", at positions 29 to 507 of the family's 1533-position model. The record is from RNAcentral.
AGUGAACGCUGGCGGUAGGCCUAACACAUGCAAGUCGAACGGCAGCACAGUAAGAGCUUGCUCUUACGGGUGGCGAGUGGCGGACGGGUGAGGAAUACAUCGGAAUCUACUUUUUCGUGGGGGAUAACGUAGGGAAACUUACGCUAAUACCGCAUACGACCUACGGGUGAAAGCAGGGGAUCUUCGGACCUUGCGCGAUUGAAUGAGCCGAUGUCGGAUUAGCUAGUUGGCGGGGUAAAGGCCCACCAAGGCGACGAUCCGUAGCUGGUCUGAGAGGAUGAUCAGCCACACGGGAACUGAGACACGGUCCAGACUCCUACGGGAGGCAGCAGUGGGGAAUAUUGGACAAUGGGCGCAAGCCUGAUCCAGCCAUACCGCGUGGGUGAAGAAGGCCUUCGGGUUGUAAAGCCCUUUUGUUGGGAAAGAAAAGCAGCAGGUUAAUACCCCGCGGUUCUGACGGUACCCAAAGAAUAAGCACCGGCUAACUUCGUG